Molecule: ribosomal RNA, 510 nt
Filed under: uncultured bacterium
Lineage: Bacteria
Description: bacterial SSU rRNA
Rfam family: Bacterial small subunit ribosomal RNA
Source: RNAcentral
UAGUCCACGCCCUAAACGAUGCUUACUCGAUGUUUGUAUUUAUAUGAGCAUCCAAGGGAAACCGUUAAGUAAGCCACCUGGGGAGUACGUUCGCAAGAAUGAAACUCAAAGGAAUUGACGGGGGUCCGCACAAGCGGCGGAGCAUGUGGCUUAAUUCGAUGAUACGCGAGGAACCUUACCUAGGCUCUAAUGUUAGCGCUAUCUGGUGAAAGCCGGAGUUCCUUCGGGACGCGAAACAAGGUGCUGCAUGGUUGUCGUCAGCUCGUGCCGUGAGGUGUUGGGUUAAGUCCCGCAACGAGCGCAACCCCUAUUGUUAGUUGCCAUCAGGUUAAGCUGGGGACUCUAGCAAGACUGCCGGCGUAAGCCGCGAGGAAGGUGGGGAGUGACGUCAAAUCAAUCAUGGCCUUUAUGCCUAGGCGACGACACGUGCUACAAUAGGUAGCGAUACAGAGGGUUGCGAAGCGCGACGGUGGAGCGUAAUCUACNAAAGUACAUCCAUUACGGAUCGGU